This 487-nucleotide ribosomal RNA is filed under the name uncultured bacterium. Its description in RNAcentral is "bacterial SSU rRNA". It matches the Rfam family "Bacterial small subunit ribosomal RNA", at positions 28 to 526 of the family's 1533-position model. The record is from RNAcentral.
GAUGAACGCUGGCGGCGUGCUUAACACAUGCAAGUCGAACGGACUAAAUGGAGCUUGCUCCAUGAGGUUAGUGGCGGACGGGUGAGUAACGCGUGGGUAACCUGCCCUAUGCAGGGGGAUAACGUUUGGAAACGAACGCUAAUACCGCAUAAUCUAAACUUUUCGCAUGAAGAGAUUAGCAAAGAUUUUAUCGGCAUAGGAUGGACCCGCGUUGGAUUAGCUAGUUGGUGAGAUAACAGCUCACCAAGGCGACGAUCCAUAGCCGGCCUGAGAGGGUGAACGGCCACACUGGGACUGAGACACGGCCCAGACUCCUACGGGAGGCAGCAGUGGGGAAUAUUGCACAAUGGGCGCAAGCCUGAUGCAGCGACGCCGCGUGAAGGAUGAAGGUUUUCGGAUCGUAAACUUCUAUCAGCAGGGAAGAAACCAAUGACGGUACCUGACUAAGAAGCCCCGGCUAACUACGUGCCAGCCGCCGCCGUAACAC